CGCUCACGUUCCCCCGGGGGAACAGCUCUCUUUUCCUCCCACUCGACGCUCGUUGGAUCCUUUCAAUCGAACCGUUCUCCUUCCGCCACGUCGCCACCUUAUCCGUCCGCGGACCGCGCCGUUCCGGACCGCGCCGCCCCCGACCUCAUUACUGCGCCUCGCCGCGCCCCUUAAUCACGCUCUCGCGCGAGGUGGCGGAGGAAGCGAGCGGCGGCUAGGGAGCGGUUCUGGGAGAUUCAACCGCCGCUGGCGACGAUUUCCGCCGCCCACCGGAGAACGGCGGCGCCAAGCUUCGUAGUAGAGGUUCAUCGGCGCCGAUCUCCUCCCCCGCGUCGUGUUAUUCUUCGUUGCCGAUCUGUUCGGUAUUGAAGGUAGAGAGCGCCCUGAUCUAUUGGGAGACGUGGAAGUGAGAAUCUUCCACUUUUGCUACAGAUGGAUGUUUCCAAAAAAGCUGGGAAGCAACCUAUGCCUAGUGCAGAGGAUCAAGCUAAGUGGACUUCGAAAGACCGUUUUG
Lolium perenne is the source of this 514-nucleotide long non-coding RNA. RefSeq lists it as uncharacterized. NCBI's taxonomy places the organism in Eukaryota, Viridiplantae, Streptophyta, Magnoliopsida, Poales, Poaceae. The record is from RefSeq and is a predicted model, not a curated record.